AAACCAACAGGGAUUGCCUCAGUAACGGCGAGUGAAGCGGCAAAAAGCUCAAAUUUGAAAUCUAACACUUUCAGUGUUCGAGUUGUAAUUUGAAGAAAGUUUCUCUGAGUAGUCCUUUAUCUAUGUUCCUUGGAACAGGACGUCAUAGAGGGUGAGAAUCCCGUAUGAUUUUGGAUACUAUUCUUUGUGAGAUUCUUUCGAAGAGUCGAGUUGUUUGGGAAUGCAGCUCUAAGUGGGUGGUAAAUUCCAUCUAAAGCUAAAUAUUGGCGAGAGACCGAUAGCGAACAAGUACAGUGAUGGAAAGAUGAAAAGAACUCUGAAGAGAGAGUGAAAAAAGUCGUGAAAUUGCUGAAAGGGAAGGGCUUUAGGUCAGACUUGGUGUUUAAAUGAUUAUCUUCUCUUUUUGAGUUGUGCUACUCGUUUUCACUGGGCCAAUAUCAGUUUUGUGGUAGAGCACCUACUGGAAUGUAGCUUUCUUCGGAUGAGUGUUAUAGCCUUUAGGCGAUCUAUUUAC
Molecule: ribosomal RNA, 514 nt
Filed under: uncultured Candida
Lineage: Eukaryota; Fungi; Ascomycota; Saccharomycetes; Saccharomycetales
Description: eukaryotic LSU rRNA
Rfam family: Eukaryotic large subunit ribosomal RNA
Source: RNAcentral